This is a long non-coding RNA of Sinocyclocheilus anshuiensis, 90 nucleotides long. RefSeq lists it as uncharacterized. NCBI's taxonomy places the organism in Eukaryota, Metazoa, Chordata, Actinopteri, Cypriniformes, Cyprinidae. The record is from RefSeq and is a predicted model, not a curated record. The transcript is spliced from 3 exons.
AGUACCUCCUACCGUACACCACUGAAAACACAGAAAGCCGGAAAGUUCUGUCAGUGGUGGGAAAGCAUUUAAACAAACAUUCACUUGUAA